AUGGAGCUCCUCCGCGCGGUCGUCCUGCUCUCCCUGGCGCUCCUGGCCAACGGCCGGGACACCGACCUCUCCCGGGACAGCUUCCCCAAGGGCUUCGUGUUCGGCACCGCCUCGUCGGCGUACCAGGUGGAGGGCAACUCCCUCAAGUACGGCCGCGGGCCCUGCAUCUGGGACACCUUCCUCAAGUAUCCAGGUGCCACUCCCGACAACGCCACCGCCAACGUGACCGUCGACGAGUACCAUCGCUACAUGGACGAUGUGGACAACAUGGUCAGGGUGGGCUUCGACGCCUACCGCUUCUCCAUCUCCUGGUCGCGUAUCUUCCCCAAUGGGAUCGGGAGGAUCAACAAAGACGGCGUGGACUACUACCACAGGCUCAUCGACUACAUGCUUGCCAACAAUAUCACUCCGUACGUCGUGCUCUACCACUACGACCUGCCGGAGGUCCUCAACAACCAGUACAACGGCUGGCUCAGCCCCAGGGUCGUGCCCGACUUCACGGCUUUCGCCGACUUCUGCUUCAAGACGUACGGCGACCGGGUGAAGAACUGGUUCACCAUCAACGAGCCGCGGAUGAUGGCCUGGCACGGCUACGGCGACGGCUUCUUCGCGCCCGGCAGGUGCACCGGCUGCCGGUUCGGCGGCAACUCCGCCACGGAGCCCUACAUCGCCGGCCACCACCUCCUCCUCGCGCACGCCGCCGCCGUCAAGGUGUACCGCGACAAGUACCAGCGCAGGCAGAACGGCACCAUCGGCAUCCUCCUGGACUUCGUGUGGUACGAGCCGCUGACCUACACCGUGGAGGACGAGUACGCGGCGCACAGGGCGAGGGAGUUCACCCUUGGCUGGUACAUGCACCCGAUCACCUUCGGCCACUACCCGGAGACGAUGCAGAAGCUGGUGGGGACGAGGCUGCCCAACUUCACGGCGGAGCAGAGCAAGCUGCUGCAGGGCUCGGCGGACAUCAUCGGGAUCAACCACUACACCACCUACUACGUCAGGCACCACGAGAACCUGACGCGCAUGAGCUACGCCACGGACUGGCAGGCCGAGCUUCUCUUCGAGCGCAACGGCGUGCCGAUCGGAAGACAGGCGUUCUCGAAGUGGCUGUACGUGGUGCCCUGGGGGUUCUACAAGGCGGUGAUGCACGUGAAGAACAAGUUCAGGGACCCCUUGAUCCUCAUCGGCGAGAACGGGAUCGACCAGUCGGGCAGCGACACGCUGCCGCACGCGCUCUACGACACCUUCAGGAUCGACUACUUCGACCAGUACCUCCACGAGCUGAAGCGCGCCAUCGCCGACGGCGCCAGGGUGACGGGCUACUUCGCGUGGUCGUUGCUGGACAACUUCGAGUGGCGGAUGGGCUUCACCUCCAAGUUCGGCCUCGUCUACGUCGACCGCAAGACCUUCACCCGGUACCCCAAGGACUCCACGCGCUGGUUCCGGAAGGUGAUCAAGAGCGAGGAGUACUGA
This 1473-nucleotide ribosomal RNA is filed under the name Triticum aestivum (bread wheat). RNAcentral's name for it is "partial small subunit ribosomal RNA". The record is from RNAcentral. Lineage: Eukaryota; Viridiplantae; Streptophyta; Magnoliopsida; Poales; Poaceae.